AUUGAACGCUGGCGGAAUGCUUUACACAUGCAAGUCGAACGAUGAACCUUAGCUUGCUAAGGGGAUUAGUGGCGAACGGGUGAGUAAUGUAUCGGAACGUAUCCAAUAAUGGGGGAUAACUAGUCGAAAGAUUAGCUAAUACCGCAUACGUCCUACGGGAGAAAGCUAGGGACCUUCGGGCCUGGCGUUAAUGGAGCGGCCGAUAUCUGAUUAGCUAGUUGGGGGGGUAAAGGCACACCAAGGCGACGAUCAGUAGCUGGUCUGAGAGGACGACCAGCCACACUGGAACUGAGACACGGUCCAGACUCCUACGGGAGGCAGCAGUGGGGAAUUUUGGACAAUGGGCGAAAGCCUGAUCCAGCCAUUCCGCGUGAGUGAAGAAGGCCUUCGGGUUGUAAAGCUCUUUCGCAAGGGAAGAAAACUUAAGCUCUAACAUAGCUUGAGGUUGACGGUACCUUGAUAAGAAGCACCGGCUAACUACGUGCCAGCAGCCGCCGUAA
RNAcentral lists this ribosomal RNA (500 nucleotides) under uncultured bacterium. RNAcentral describes it as "partial 16S ribosomal RNA". It matches the Rfam family "Bacterial small subunit ribosomal RNA", at positions 30 to 523 of the family's 1533-position model. The record is from RNAcentral.